ACGAACGCUGGCGGCGUGCUUCACCCAUGCAAGUCGAACGGAAAGGCCCUGCUUUUGUGGGGUGCUCGAGUGGCGAACGGGGGAGUAACACGUGAGUCACCUGCCCUUGACUUUGGGAUAACUUCAGGAAACGGGGGCUAAUACCGGAUAGGAGCUCCUGCUGCAUGGUGGGGGUUGGAAAGUUUCGGCGGUUGGGGAUGGACUCGCGGCUUAUCAGCUUGUUGGGGGGGUAGUGGCUUACCAAGGCUUUGACGGGUAGCCGGCCUGAGAGGGUGACCGGCCACAUUGGGACUGAGAUACGGCCCAGACUCCUACGGGAGGCAGCAGUGGGGAAUAUUGCACAAUGGGCGGAAGCCUGAUGCAGCAACGCCGCGUGCGGGAUGACGGCCUUCGGGUUGUAAACCGCUUUCGCCUGUGACGAAGCGUGAGUGACGGUAAUGGGUAAAGAAGCACCGGCUAACUACGUG
RNAcentral lists this ribosomal RNA (467 nucleotides) under uncultured bacterium. RNAcentral describes it as "partial 16S ribosomal RNA". It matches the Rfam family "Bacterial small subunit ribosomal RNA", at positions 29 to 507 of the family's 1533-position model. The record is from RNAcentral.